This 63-nucleotide transfer RNA is filed under the name Paphnutius ruficeps. RNAcentral's name for it is "tRNA-Thr". Lineage: Eukaryota; Metazoa; Arthropoda; Insecta; Hemiptera; Cercopidae. The record is from RNAcentral.
GUUUUAAUAGUUUAUACAAAACAAUGGUUUUGUAAACCAUAAUUAAGAUUUCCUUUUAAAACU